RNAcentral lists this unclassified non-coding RNA (334 nucleotides) under fungal sp. RNAcentral describes it as "partial internal transcribed spacer region". The stretch from base 1 to 45 matches the Rfam family "Eukaryotic small subunit ribosomal RNA", at positions 1787 to 1831 of the family's 1831-position model. Lineage: Eukaryota; Fungi. The record is from RNAcentral.
AGUCGUAACAAGGUUUCCGUAGGUGAACCUGCGGAAGGAUCAUUAACACUUUGUUAUACCCAAUACCAACCAACUGUGAACUGUAACGUCCCUAUCCGCAAUUAGAAGGGUGUAGACUUCGGUUGAUACCUUCGAAGUUGUGCGAUAGACAAUACCCACCCUAGUAGUCAUCAAACCACUAGCUUCGGUUAGCGGCUUGGUGAUGAACGUAUUCACCAAUUUUCACCCUAUAAUUUUUAACCUGACUAAUCUUCAUAAACUUAAUGACUGCUUCGGCGGUUGAUAAGCUUUACGAAAUAACGAACAACUCUUAGCAAUGGAUAUCUUGGGUCAU